CUCACUGACUUAACUUAUUGAUCGUGGACAUUAUUAUACUCUCUAUAUUUGCUAGUUGUUAAAGCUACCUACUAGCUAGCUCAGCAUACUUAGCAUCAAAGGAUUCAACUCUCCUGCAGCUUGUGAGGAUACUGAGGUCUUUGGAGUGUGUAGGCACACACUUAGGACAUUUAUGUCCCCUUAUAUAAACUUUUAAACAAGAUGGAGUGAUGUACUUCCAGGAUUGAGGAAACUAGUAUGAUCCCUCCACCCCCACCCCUCCCCACCUUGGUGAAAACCAGGUCCUCUCAAAGCUGUGUUCCACCGAUCCCUCAGCGUGCUGCAAUUCCAUUUAAUUAUGGUCCGACACCUCCUGUUCAGGAAACGGGUUACGAACCGGAUCCGAACUCCCAGGCUGAGGAAGCAACAGUCUCACCGCUCGCAGAAGAAGACGAACCCCAAUCUCCACCACCACCUGACAGCCAAGGUGACGAUCCUCCUGAUGUGGAGAAGAAACCUCCACCUGUGCAGGAAACCAGUCCCGCAGCACAGGCCCUGAGCAGCCUGCAGAAUGAGACUACAGUGGAAGAGGAUCAUACACAAGAGCACGAAGAUGUCCAGCUGCCAUGA
This 609-nucleotide long non-coding RNA is filed under the name Oryzias sinensis (Chinese medaka). RNAcentral describes it as "lncRNA (ENSOSIG00000000115.1)". Lineage: Eukaryota; Metazoa; Chordata; Actinopteri; Beloniformes; Adrianichthyidae. The record is from RNAcentral.